UCUGAAGGGGCAGUUGGUGGAGUUGCUCUCUGGAGUAGGAGACUGAGACCUUUCCUUCUAGCAACUUUCACCUUCUGAGAAGUGUUUGAGAUUGUUUAAACGCCACAGGUCCUAGAUUGUAUGACUGAUACAGGAUUUGAACUCAAAGCCACAAAACUGAAGCGAUUACAUCAAGAAAGAAGAAAAAUCCUGUCUUUAAAUGCUGACAAAGAUGAAAAAAAUUCCAUAAAAGUGUCUUUCCACAAUAAAGUCUUAACUACAAGUUUAUCAGGCAUGUUAAUUAAGGAAAAAAUGCAUCUGAAAGCAUGGCCAGGACUGUGUCUUCAACUGCAUGAAACCAACAAGAAGCAAGUCGAAAAUAGUACAACCCAAGUGGUAAACAGGAAUGAGGAACAGUAUCAAAGGAAGUUUCAAAUGUCAAUGGGAGAAAGGAAUGGUAUUGAGAGAAGAUCAAAGUGUAGCAGGAACAUACGCUGGUAAUUAAGCAACAGUACUAAACUAAGUGAGAGAGUGACAAGUGGGUACUAGAAAGAAAAUGUUAAGUCCUAGUAGAUGAUACCAAACACCUUUUGGUAGAGAAUUUACAGAAUUGUAAAUUAAAUAUUAUUUCUGAAAUUUCAACACUUUUCUAGAGUUGAAAAAGUAUAUAUUCUCAGGGUCUAAAAGAAAUAGGAUGGAAUAAAAAAGAAAAUUGAACCAUGAUGGUUA
Molecule: non-coding RNA, 708 nt
Organism: Monodelphis domestica (gray short-tailed opossum)
Lineage: Eukaryota; Metazoa; Chordata; Mammalia; Didelphimorphia; Didelphidae
Source: RefSeq, a predicted model, not a curated record